GACGAACGCUGGCGGCGUGCCUAAUACAUGCAAGUCGAACGCACAGUUUAUACCGUAGCUUGCUACACCAUAGACUGUGAGUUGCGAACGGGUGAGUAACGCGUAGGUAACCUGCCUGGUAGCGGGGGAUAACUAUUGGAAACGAUAGCUAAUACCGCAUAAUAUUAAUUAUUGCAUGAUAAUUAAUUGAAAGUUGCAAUUGCACCACUACCAGAUGGACCUGCGUUGUAUUAGCUAGUAGGUGAGGUAACGGCUCACCUAGGCGACGAUACAUAGCCGACCUGAGAGGGUGAUCGGCCACACUGGGACUGAGACACGGCCCAGACGCCUACGGGAGGCAGCAGUAGGGAAGCUUCGGCAAUGGACGAAAGUCUGACCGAGCAACGCCGCGUGAGUGAAGAAGGUUUUCGGAUCGUAAAGCUCUGUUGUAAGAGAAGAACGGGUGUGAGAGUGGAAAGUUCACACUGUGACGGUAUCUUACCAGAAAGGGACGGCUAACUACGUG
RNAcentral lists this ribosomal RNA (505 nucleotides) under uncultured bacterium. Its description in RNAcentral is "partial 16S ribosomal RNA". It matches the Rfam family "Bacterial small subunit ribosomal RNA", at positions 28 to 507 of the family's 1533-position model. The record is from RNAcentral.